CCUACGGGGCGCUGCAGUGGGGAAUAUUGGACAAUGGGCGAAAGCCUGAUCCAGCCAUGCCGCGUGUGUGAAGAAGGCCUUCGGGUUGUAAAGCACUUUCAGUGGGGAAGAAAGCCUUGGGGCUAAUACCCUCGAGGAAGGACAUCACCCACAGAAGAAGCACCGGCUAACUCCGUGCCAGCAGCCGCGGUAAUACGGAGGGUGCGAGCGUUAAUCGGAAUUACUGGGCGUAAAGCGCGCGUAGGCGGUCUGAUAAGCCGGUUGUGAAAGCCCCGGGCUCAACCUGGGAACGGCAUCCGGAACUGUCAGGCUAGAGUGCAGGAGAGGAAGGUAGAAUUCCCGGUGUAGCGGUGAAAUGCGUAGAUAUCGGGAGGAAUACCAGUGGCGAAGGCGGCCUUCUGGACUGACACUGACGCUGAGGUGCGAAAGCGUGGGUAGCAAACAGGAUUAGAUACCCGUGUAGUC
Molecule: ribosomal RNA, 465 nt
Filed under: Vreelandella stevensii
Lineage: Bacteria; Pseudomonadati; Pseudomonadota; Gammaproteobacteria; Oceanospirillales; Halomonadaceae
Description: partial 16S ribosomal RNA
Rfam family: Bacterial small subunit ribosomal RNA
Source: RNAcentral